Long non-coding RNA from Lineus longissimus, 179 nucleotides. RefSeq lists it as uncharacterized. The transcript has 3 exons. Lineage: Eukaryota; Metazoa; Nemertea; Pilidiophora; Heteronemertea; Lineidae. The record is from RefSeq and is a predicted model, not a curated record.
CAGGAAUGGUUAUUAAAAGUGGACCCACAAUGAUUAUGAUGACAGUACAGUACUGCCACUUUUUAAAGGGCUGCACCAGCAAGUAGGCCUGAGGCAACUUCUCAACCUGUGAACAAUAGGAAGUCAGUCAAAGCUAAGAAAAGAAAAGCCAGCAAGGGAAAAGCAAGCAAGGCGAAGGG